AUAACCGAGGCCUUGUCUGCACAGAAACACACCAAGCCCAAACCCACCGCCCUCGGCAGCCGCGCCACGCGGGCCCUUCCUCGGCAGACUUCCCAACCUCUACUUGAGCCGCAGAGGAAAGUGAGACCCCCUAGGCUCUCCUGAAGCCAGCCCUGGGCCCCUCCCCAAGGAUGCUUUGGGAAGGAGAUAAGGAGGUGAGAUAGAAUCUGGCAGAGACGGAAGAUGAAAAAAAGACAAACGGAAGAAAAGAAAGCAGGAAGGAGCAAAGGAAAGAAGAAAAAAGAAAGAAGAGAUAAAAGAGGAAGGGAAGACAGGGAAAAGAAGGAAGAAAAGAGACAGAGGCGACUCCUAGCAGCGGCAGAGCUUACAGAGAGAAGGCCAAAGUCAAGCCCGUUUGCCAACCUGCGUGUCCAUGCCUGUAAGCCCUUCUCUCGGCCAAGGAAG
Molecule: non-coding RNA, 444 nt
Filed under: Pongo abelii (Sumatran orangutan)
Lineage: Eukaryota; Metazoa; Chordata; Mammalia; Primates; Hominidae
Source: RNAcentral